Long non-coding RNA from Marmota marmota marmota (Alpine marmot), 1201 nucleotides. The record is from Ensembl. NCBI's taxonomy places the organism in Eukaryota, Metazoa, Chordata, Mammalia, Rodentia, Sciuridae.
UAUUUAUGAUGAUUGCAAACGUGUUCUUAUUAUUUGAAACUUAACUACAAGUUUUAAUUACUAAAGAUAUUUUCUCCAUAUUGAUUUACUACAUUUCAGUCUUGUCAUUGUACUCAACAAAAUCCACAAACACAGAACCCCUAAGCGAAUGUAGUCUUAUCAACGCAUAUGAAAAUUGUUAUCACUCAGACUGAGCUCUCUACUUAUUUCAUAGACUCAUGAAUGUGUUUUUCUUAAUACUCAGGUUUUAUUGAUUAUAUAUUUCACUUGCUUUUCAGGCUCUAAGGACGUACAUGCUUCCUACAAGGUAAUUCAUGUUCUAUGUUUAUGUGAUAUUAUUAACAGUAUGCUGGGUGUACUGUGAAAUACUUACAUAAUAUCUUCUCUCCGUGCACAUCAAGCCGACCACCAAAAGCAAAGAUACAGAUCCCAAAAAACCAAAACGGAACAAUGGCACAAAAACACUGGAAUCAGAGUCACAUGAGAAUAUGUCAUCAUCACGAGAGAAGGAAAGGCUUGAUGGCACGGAAAAGAGCAAUCAGCAGAACGUCCACAGCAGCAACACACCUCUUCCUGAUGAGAGCCUUCAGCACAUGCCUGUCACUCACUAUCCUCAGCCCAUAUGAUGAGUAACCAUCUAAAAUUCUGGAAGGAUACCUGGCUACUGCAUCAUGGAGGUGUAAGGGAUGCAGUGGUUCCUGAUGAGACACCACUGAGAGUCCAUGUCUUCAGGGCAAUAUUGUAAUUCUUAAGAGGGUGACUUUAACUUCCUGUGUGAUGUUAAUGGGGAGUGUCUGUGAGAAACCUCCAGAGGUUUGGGCUUCUAGAAUAUCUGGUGGGUUCCAUUCACGAGCAAAGAAUAGAAUAAAUGGACAUAGAGAAGAUACAGGACAUGUAUCUUUGCACAAGGGUGAAAAAGAAAACAUUCUAUUGCCUAAAACAAAGGAAGCAGGAUUAGAAGAUGUGCCAGGGUCCCAGACGGGCUCUAAGGACGUACAUGCUUCCUACAAGCCGACCAUCAAAAGCAAAGAUACAGAUCCCCCAAAACCAAAAUGGAAGAAUGGAACAAAAAUACUGGAAUCAGGUAACUGUUGCAGUACAGCUUCCAAGAAACUGCCUAUGUUUAAACCUUGGAAAUGAUAGCAAUCUUCUAACUCCUGAUAUAUCCAUUUUCUGACAUGUGUUGGUUGGAGUUGCCCCA